RNAcentral lists this ribosomal RNA (397 nucleotides) under uncultured prokaryote. RNAcentral describes it as "partial 16S ribosomal RNA". The record is from RNAcentral.
CCCUAUGGGGUGCGCUUUCCGGACAGCGAGAAACCGUUCGAUACAUUCGAACUGCCGGCGGACGGGGAACCGGAGCGCUACAAAGACCUUUUCAAGAAGGGAGUCAUAUUCAGGAAGGGGAAGCGGCGAACCGGCAUUAUCGAGAGCAGGAACCGGGCGCAGGAGGAACUGAUUGUGGCGGUCGCCAGGUCGGGUCUUCGGGGUUUUGUUCGAUUUCCACAGGAAGAAGACGAGUGUGAGCGGGUUUUGGGCCUGUUUUCGGCUUUUAUGGAAGAGCGGCGGAAGGUGGUGAGGGAGAUGAUCGAGAGCCGAACGGCGGACGGGGAGAUGCAGGAGAAGAUAUACGGGGCGGUGAUGCAGAUGAUUGCGAGCGUGGGGUAGGCGAUGGCGGGAGGGC